UACGUAGGGGGCUAGCGUUGUCCGGAAUCACUGGGCGUAAAGGGCGCGUAGGCGGCUUCUUAAGCGUGUGGUGAAAGCUCAGGGCUCAACUCUGAGUCGGCCAUGCGAACUGGGAGGCUUGAGCACUGUAGAGGCAGGUGGAAUUCCGGGUGUAGCGGUGGAAUGCGUAGAGAUCCGGAAGAACACCGGUGGCGAAGGCGGCCUGCUGGGCAGUAGCUGACGCUGAGGCGCGACAGCGUGGGGAGCAAACAGG
RNAcentral lists this ribosomal RNA (253 nucleotides) under uncultured bacterium. Its description in RNAcentral is "partial 16S ribosomal RNA". It matches the Rfam family "Bacterial small subunit ribosomal RNA", at positions 524 to 776 of the family's 1533-position model. The record is from RNAcentral.